RNAcentral lists this ribosomal RNA (298 nucleotides) under Clostridium botulinum. Its description in RNAcentral is "partial 16S ribosomal RNA". It matches the Rfam family "Bacterial small subunit ribosomal RNA", at positions 1 to 295 of the family's 1533-position model. Lineage: Bacteria; Bacillati; Bacillota; Clostridia; Eubacteriales; Clostridiaceae. The record is from RNAcentral.
UUUUAAAUUUAGAGUUUGAUCCUGGCUCAGGACGAACGCUGGCGGCGUGCUUAACACAUGCAAGUCGAGCGAUGAAGCUUCCUUCGGGAGGUGGAUUAGCGGCGGACGGGUGAGUAACACGUGGGUAACCUGCCUCAAAGUGGGGGAUAGCCUUCCGAAAGGAAGAUUAAUACCGCAUAAUAUGAGAGAAUCGCAUGAUUUUCUUAUCAAAGAUUUAUUGCUUUGAGAUGGACCCGCGGCGCAUUAGCUAGUUGGUAAGGUAACGGCUUACCAAGGCAACGAUGCGUAGCCGACCUGA